RNAcentral lists this ribosomal RNA (500 nucleotides) under uncultured bacterium. RNAcentral's name for it is "partial 16S ribosomal RNA". It matches the Rfam family "Bacterial small subunit ribosomal RNA", at positions 30 to 523 of the family's 1533-position model. The record is from RNAcentral.
AUUGAACGCUGGCGGAAUGCUUUACACAUGCAAGUCGAACGGCAGCACGGGGGCAACCCUGGUGGCGAGUGGCGAACGGGUGAGUAAUACAUCGGAACGUGCCCAGUCGUGGGGGAUAACGUAGCGAAAGUUACGCUAAUACCGCAUACGAUCUCAGGAUGAAAGCGGGGGACCGUAAGGCCUCGCGCGAUUGGAGCGGCCGAUGUCAGAUUAGGUAGUUGGUGAGGUAAAGGCUCACCAAGCCUGCGAUCUGUAGCUGGUCUGAGAGGACGACCAGCCACACUGGGGAUGAGACACGGCCCAGACUCCUACGGGAGGCAGCAGUGGGGAAUUUUGGACAAUGGGCGCAAGCCUGAUCCAGCCAUUCCGCGUGCAGGACGAAGGCCUUCGGGUUGUAAACUGCUUUUGUACGGAACGAAAAGCCUUGGGCUAAUACCCCGAGGUCAUGACGGUACCGUAAGAAUAAGCACCGGCUAACUACGUGCCAGCAGCAGCCGCUG